UCCAGACUCCUACGGGAGGCAGCAGUGGGGGAUAUUGCACAAUGGGGGAAACCCUGAUGCAGCGACGCCGCGUGGGUGAAGAAGUAUUUCGGUAUGUAAAGCCCUAUCAGCAGGGAAGAAAGAAGACGGUACCUGACUAAGAAGCCCCGGCUAACUACGUGCCAGCAGCCGCGGUAAUACGUAGGGGGCGAGCGUUAUCCGGAUUCACUGGGUGUAAAGGGAGCGUAGACGGCCGUGCAAGCCAGGAGUGAAAUGCCGGGGCCCAACCCCGGAACUGCUUUGGAAACUGUGCAGCUCGAGUGCAGGAGAGGUAAGCGGAAUUCCUAGUGUAGCGGUGAAAUGCGUAGAUAUUAGGAGGAACACCAGUGGCGAAGGCGGCUUACUGGACUGUAACUGACGUUGAGGCUCGAAAGCGUGGGGAGCAAACAGGAUUAGAUACCCCAGUA
This 446-nucleotide ribosomal RNA is filed under the name uncultured bacterium. RNAcentral describes it as "bacterial SSU rRNA". It matches the Rfam family "Bacterial small subunit ribosomal RNA", at positions 330 to 792 of the family's 1533-position model. The record is from RNAcentral.